GAACGCGUGGAGCAUGUGGCUUAAUUUGACUCAACGCGGGAAAUCUUACCGGGUCCGGACACACUGAGGAUUGACAGGCAAUAUCUCAUGUUAACGGUAAGUUUACUUACCGCUUAACAUCGAGUGUUAAAUAUGCUAGUCCUUUCAUGAUUAUGUGAUAGGUGGUGCAUGGCCGUUCUUAGUUCGUGGAGUGAUCUGUCUGCUUAAUUGCGUUUCACUAAGGGCCCAUAAAUUCAAGGUAUGUUAGCUCUCGUCGCUCUAUGGACCCCUUAACUCCAAUAUUCUUAUUGUGUUAAGCGCGUGUCUUUAUUUUAAGAGUUUUAAGACACUGCGCAUGCUGUUGGGCUCUGAAAGCAACGAACGUGACCGCAACGUCUUGUUGCCUUAAACUAGCGUANAUUGCAAUUUAUUGCAAUAUCGCUUACAGAGGCAUUUUAAAACUAGACG
This 447-nucleotide ribosomal RNA is filed under the name Neogloboquadrina pachyderma. RNAcentral describes it as "SSU rRNA". It matches the Rfam family "Eukaryotic small subunit ribosomal RNA", at positions 1174 to 1438 of the family's 1831-position model. The record is from RNAcentral. Lineage: Eukaryota; Foraminifera; Rotaliida; Globorotaliidae.